RNAcentral lists this ribosomal RNA (500 nucleotides) under uncultured bacterium. RNAcentral's name for it is "partial 16S ribosomal RNA". It matches the Rfam family "Bacterial small subunit ribosomal RNA", at positions 29 to 523 of the family's 1533-position model. The record is from RNAcentral.
AUUGAACGCUGGCGGAAUGCUUUACACAUGCAAGUCGAACGGCAGCACGGGGGCAACCCUGGUGGCGAGUGGCGAACGGGUGAGUAAUACAUCGGAACGUGCCCAGUCGUGGGGGAUAACGUAGCGAAAGUUACGCUAAUACCGCAUACGAUCUACGGAUGAAAGCGGGGGACCGUAAGGCCUCGCGCGAUUGGAGCGGCCGAUGUCAGAUUAGGUAGUUGGUGAGGUAAAGGCUCACCAAGCCGACGAUCUGUAGCUGGUCUGAGAGGACGACCGGCCACACUGGGGCGGGGACACGGGCCAGACUCCGACGGGAGGCAGCAGUGGGGAAUUUUGGACAAUGGGCGCAAGCCUGAUCCAGCCAUUCCGCGUGCAGGACGAAGGCCUUCGGGUUGUAAACUGCUUUUGUACGGAACGAAAAGGCUCUGGUUAAUACCUGGGGCUCAUGACGGUACCGUAAGAAUAAGCACCGGCUAACUACGUGCCAGCCGCCGCAGUAA